GACCACUCCCAUUCAAGGAAUCUCCUUCUGUCCUGCGGGAUCACACAAGACAGAACCAUUCAAAACGUCCUUUUCCUCAAUGUCUAAGCACGGUGGAGCCCUUUUUGCCCGGCUCUGUGGAGGGAGGAUGACUGCAUGACCACAGAUGCAAUGUGGACCAGCGCCCAUCAUUCAAGGGCAUGAUUGAUGCCAACCAGCAACCAGGCACUGGGGAGGGAGCUGAGGGAGCACGAAUGGGAUGAGCCACCUUCUGUCCCUGUAGUGGAGGGCAUGGGGCUUGGCUGGGCUUAGAGCUAACAUACACAGGAUACUGAAAAAGAACAACACAAGGUGUGUGGUGCAAAGGAAAGGGAAAUCAGCUUAAAGCUGAUGUUAGUGUGCUUGACCUGAGUACAGCCAUGCUCUCAUUUGAGGUAUGCAUGAGCCGUGGGCAAGAUCCCUCCUGGCCCAUCUCUCCUCUUACUCUCUAUCCCUUCCCCAGGUCCCUGCCUCAGAGGUUUCACGGGAGCACAGCUCCUCCCUGUGGCCAAAGCAGCACUUGACCACUCACCAACCCAGUGUCAGGAUCCAGACCGGUUCCACAUCCCACAACCCUGAGCAGCAGAGAUGGGUUUGAAAGGCCAGGGGAGAAUAAAAAGGAAAGAGAUGUUGUCAACAACACAGAGAGUCAACAGCCAGAACACCAGGGGUGGUGACCAGAGAGCUCAAGUCAUCUGAAUUAGGAAUGGAUCUAAGAAGGAAAAUGAUCUCAGGAUCGUGUGAAUUGCAAGAAGAGUGAAGACUGGAAUGGCCCUAAGUUGUGUAUGCAGAGGGUGGGACUCCAGAAGGCCCAACAGAGAACAAAUUCUGGAAGGGUGAAGACAUGGGCAGGGAUGUCAGAAGAUACUCAGGGCUGGAAGGCAUUGGCAUUCAGACCAGUCAUCCAGCUGUCGCCUACUCUUGAGAAGAGUUCAAGAUGACCUUCAUCAGAAUUGGAGAGACACUUGCUGGUCACCCUUCUUGAAGAGAAGGAGUCUACAAGGCACAAGGCUGCCUC
This is a long non-coding RNA of Piliocolobus tephrosceles (Ugandan red Colobus), 1036 nucleotides long. RefSeq lists it as uncharacterized. The transcript has 4 exons. The record is from RefSeq and is a predicted model, not a curated record. NCBI's taxonomy places the organism in Eukaryota, Metazoa, Chordata, Mammalia, Primates, Cercopithecidae.